UUGGGAAUCUUGCGCAAUGGGGGAAACCCUGACGCAGCGACGCCGCGUGCGGGAUGACGGUCUUCGGAUUGUAAACCGCUUUUUCCAGGGACGAUAAUGACGGUACCUGGUGAAUAAGCCCCGGCUAACUCCGUGCCAGCAGCCGCGGUAAGACGGAGGGGGCAAGCGUUGUCCGGAAUUACUGGGCGUAAAGCGCUCGUAGGCGGUCUUGUACGGCGGUGGUAAAAGCUCCCGGCUUAACUGGGAGAGGCCCGUCGCAACGGCGAGACUUGAGGUUGGUAGAGGCAGAUGGAAUUCCUGGUGUAGCGGUGAAAUGCGUAGAGAUCAGGAGGAACACCCAUGGCGAAGGCAGUCUGCUGGGCCACACCUGACGCUGAGGAGCGAAAGCCAGGGGAGUGAACGGG
This 404-nucleotide ribosomal RNA is filed under the name uncultured bacterium. RNAcentral's name for it is "bacterial SSU rRNA". It matches the Rfam family "Bacterial small subunit ribosomal RNA", at positions 355 to 776 of the family's 1533-position model. The record is from RNAcentral.